Molecule: unclassified non-coding RNA, 696 nt
Filed under: Hevea brasiliensis (rubber tree)
Lineage: Eukaryota; Viridiplantae; Streptophyta; Magnoliopsida; Malpighiales; Euphorbiaceae
Source: RNAcentral
AGCACUUGCAGAAGCCCUGAAGACAACAGUUGAUAGUCAAAACAUUUCCUUUCUGAAGGCUGCUAGAUCUGCUGGAUAUGCAAAAGAUCAAGAUGAUUUGUCGAGUGUUUUCUUAAAGAAGGGAAGUUACUCUGCAUUUGUGGAGCUGCAUAUAGAACAGGGGCCCAUUCUAGAGGCAGAGGGUCUAUCAAUUGGCAUAGUAACUGCAAUUGCGGCCCCUGCAAGCAUAAAAGUAGAUUUUGAAGGCAAUGGCGGUCAUGCAGGCGCUGUCUUGAUGCCAAAUAGAAAUGAUGCUGGAUUGGCAGCUGCAGAACUGGCUUUAGCUGUUGAGAAACGUGUGCUAGAAUCUGGUUCAGUCGAUACUGUUGGUACAGUAGGUAUUCUGGAGUUGCAUCCUGGUGCCAUAAACAGCAUCCCGAGCAAAUCACACCUAGAAAUUGACACUCGUGAUAUUGACGAAAAGCGAAGAAAUAACGUAAUUGAGAAGAUUCAGCAAUCUGCAAUGACAAUAGCCAAAAACCGUGGGGUCAAGCUAUCAGCAUUCAAGGUCAUAAAUCAGGACCCACCAGCCCUCUCUGAUAAAUCAGUAAUUGAGGCAGUGGAAGCUGCAUCAAAAGAGUUAAACCUGACACACAAGUUGAUGAUAAGCAGAGCUUACCAUGAUUCACUGUUCAUGGCUAGGAUCUCUCCAACGGG